RNAcentral lists this ribosomal RNA (254 nucleotides) under uncultured bacterium. RNAcentral describes it as "partial 16S ribosomal RNA". It matches the Rfam family "Bacterial small subunit ribosomal RNA", at positions 524 to 776 of the family's 1533-position model. The record is from RNAcentral.
UACGUAGGGUGCGAGCGUUGUCCGGAAUUAUUGGGCGUAAAGAGCUCGUAGGCGGUGUGUCACGUCGGCCGUGAAAACCUGCAGCUUAACUGUGGGCGUGCGGUCGAUACGGGCAUCACUGGAGUUCGGCAGGGGAGACUGGAAUUCCUGGUGUAGCGGUGAAGUGCGCAGAUAUCAGGAGGAACACCGGUGGCGAAGGCGGGUCUCUGGGCCGAUACUGACGCUGAGGAGCGAAAGCGUGGGGAGCAAACAGG